AGUGAACGCUGGCGGUAGGCCUAACACAUGCAAGUCGAACGGCAGCACAGUAAGAGCUUGCUCUUACGGGUGGCGAGUGGCGGACGGGUGAGGAAUACAUCGGAAUCUACUUUUUCGUGGGGGAUAACGUAGGGAAACUUACGCUAAUACCGCAUACGACCUACGGGUGAAAGCAGGGGAUCUUCGGACCUUGCGCGACUGAAUGAGCCGAUGUCGGAUUAGCUAGUUGGCGGGGUAAAGGCCCACCAAGGCAACGAUCCGUAGCUGGUCUGAGAGGAUGAUCAGCCACACUGGAACUGAGACACGGUCCAGACUCCUACGGGAGGCAGCAGUGGGGAAUAUUGGACAAUGGGCGCAAGCCUGAUCCAGCCAUGCCGCGUGGGUGAAGAAGGCCUUCGGGUUGUAAAGCCCUUUUGUUGGGAAAGAAAGGCAGCAGGUUAAUACCCCGCUGUUCUGACGGUACCCAAAGAAUAAGCACCGGCUAACUUCGUG
This 492-nucleotide ribosomal RNA is filed under the name uncultured bacterium. RNAcentral's name for it is "partial 16S ribosomal RNA". It matches the Rfam family "Bacterial small subunit ribosomal RNA", at positions 29 to 507 of the family's 1533-position model. The record is from RNAcentral.